AUCUCAGAUGUCCUUUUUGUGUGUUGCAGCUCCAAGCAUUUGGCGGCCAAGGUAGCAUGUACUAUUGCACUAGAAUGAUUGGGGUGAAUCAAUUCUGGCCAAGGUUCUUUACGAAUUGCAAGGAUUGGAUCUCAGUACGAGAAGGCUUGACACAGAAAUUUGGAAUGCCAACAUAUUCUGCGUUGUAUAUAUAUGUACUUUUAUGUCUCUCCUGCAAAAUGCUGAGGGGUGUAAGGUGGGACAUUGUAGAGACGGGGAGGGCUGUACCUAAUUCUAGGCUGUCAAUUAUCAAAAUUUAAUUUGUUUCUACAUUUGUAGUAUACUUUUUCCUGCCUUGGGAGCCCCCCAUAGGAAUUCUAGCAAAAAUUUUACCGGGCCAUUUGUCAGAGGUAGAAAGAACUUCACCUGCAUAGCUUAUCUGUUUUUUGGUUGUAAGCUGUAAUAUUUUUUGGUCAUACCUUGUAAAAUUCUUUCCUUUCUCUGGAUGAGAAUUUACAGCGUCUUUUUCUGAAUCUAUAUAUAUAUAUAUACA
Non-coding RNA from Carica papaya (papaya), 532 nucleotides. Lineage: Eukaryota; Viridiplantae; Streptophyta; Magnoliopsida; Brassicales; Caricaceae. The record is from RefSeq and is a predicted model, not a curated record.